This is a ribosomal RNA of Anopheles gambiae str. PEST, 119 nucleotides long. Lineage: Eukaryota; Metazoa; Arthropoda; Insecta; Diptera; Culicidae. The record is from Rfam.
AUCAACGACCAUACCAUGUUGAAAACACCGGUUCUCUUCCGAUCACCGAAGUUAAGCAACAUCGGGCAUGGCUAGUAUUUUAUUGGGUGACCACUUGGGAAAACCGUGUGGCGUUGGCA